This 392-nucleotide ribosomal RNA is filed under the name Entrophospora infrequens. RNAcentral's name for it is "LSU rRNA". It matches the Rfam family "Eukaryotic large subunit ribosomal RNA", at positions 358 to 668 of the family's 3401-position model. Lineage: Eukaryota; Fungi; Glomeromycota; Glomeromycetes; Entrophosporales; Entrophosporaceae. The record is from RNAcentral.
GGAAAGAUGAAAAGAACUUUGAAAAGAGUUAAAUAGUACGUGAAAUUGUUGAAGGGAAACGAUUGAAGUCAGUCAUGCCAGUGGGAAUCAACUUAGAGGAACUCUAGGUGCACUUCUUCGCUUGGCAGGUUAGUGUCGAUUUUGGAUGUCAUAAAAUGACUGGGGGAAGGUAGCUCCUUUGGGAGUGUUAUAGCCCUUGGUAGAUGUGAUGUCUGGAAUCGAGGAUUGCAACGGAUACCCUUUAGGGCUAGUCACCUGAUCUCUAAUUAGUGCUAGAUUACGGACAGCAUGCUGACCGUGAUUUAAUUAUUGGUUAAAAGGUUAGAGUGCACAUAAAUUCGUUAAGGACACUGACGUAAUGGCUUUAAACGACCGUCUUGAAACACGGACCA